RNAcentral lists this ribosomal RNA (37 nucleotides) under fungal sp. GFI 3. RNAcentral's name for it is "partial 28S ribosomal RNA". The record is from RNAcentral. Lineage: Eukaryota; Fungi.
UUGACCUCGGAUCAGGUAGGAAGACCCGCUGAACUUA